RNAcentral lists this small RNA (28 nucleotides) under Bombyx mori (domestic silkworm). Its description in RNAcentral is "piRNA piR-bmo-1355360". Lineage: Eukaryota; Metazoa; Arthropoda; Insecta; Lepidoptera; Bombycidae. The record is from RNAcentral.
UUCAAUGUGUUAUGAAGGCUUACAAUUU